AUGAGCCUUGACUGCAAGACACUGACGCAACACAGUCGAUCGAUGAAAUGCCUGGCUAGUCUUAAGCAUACCGUUCCCUCUGGCUGGAAUGCCCUUCCUCUUCUCUCCGCAGCCGUCCCACAGAGGCCACCUCCUCCAAGAAGUCUUCCCUGGGUAUACAGCCCUGGUGACCUCGCUGGACGGGGGUACCUUUGGAUCUCCUUUCUUCUUUUGGGAAGACCCUUCCUCCGGCCUCUGAAGCAACACCAGCUAGCCCUUCCUGAGGCCUACUUCCUGACGGGCGCUGGCAAGAACCAAGGGCUCUGAACCAGCUCUGCUUUCUCCAAUGGCUCCGGGAGGACGCUUUUUAAUUAACUCUAUCUUCAGGUGAGGGAAAUGAGGGGGCAAAGGGGGGCUGGGGGUGGGGUUUGAGGUAAACUGCUCAA
RNAcentral lists this long non-coding RNA (425 nucleotides) under Mustela putorius furo (domestic ferret). Its description in RNAcentral is "lncRNA (ENSMPUG00000026312.1)". Lineage: Eukaryota; Metazoa; Chordata; Mammalia; Carnivora; Mustelidae. The record is from RNAcentral.